This 23-nucleotide non-coding RNA is filed under the name Arabidopsis thaliana (thale cress). The record is from RNAcentral. Lineage: Eukaryota; Viridiplantae; Streptophyta; Magnoliopsida; Brassicales; Brassicaceae.
CACGGGGAGGUAGUGACAAUAAA